UACAGAGGUGGCAAGCGUUGUUCGGAAUUACUGGGCGUAAAGGGCGCGUAGGUGGCCUUCUUAGUCAGACGUGAAAUCCCCAGGCUUAACCUGGGAACUGCGUCUGAUACUGGAAGGCUCGAGUUCGGGAGAGGAAUGUGGAAUUCCAGGUGUAGCGGUGAAAUGCGUAGAUAUCUGGAGGAACACCGGUGGCGAAGGCGGCAUUCUGGACCGAAACUGACGCUGAGUGAGCGAAAGCCAGGGGAGCAAACGGG
This 254-nucleotide ribosomal RNA is filed under the name uncultured bacterium. RNAcentral's name for it is "partial 16S ribosomal RNA". It matches the Rfam family "Bacterial small subunit ribosomal RNA", at positions 524 to 776 of the family's 1533-position model. The record is from RNAcentral.